GAUGAACGCUGGCGGCGUGCCUAACACAUGCAAGUCGAACGGAGUUUUUAAAUUGAAGUUUUCGGAUGGAUUUUUAGGAACUUAGUGGCGGACGGGUGAGUAACGCGUGAGCAAUCUGCCUUUCAGAGGGGGAUAACGACUGGAAACGGUCGCUAAUACCGCAUGAAGUAUUGGGAUGGCAUCGUUCUGAUACCAAAGGAGCAAUCCGCUGAAAGAUGAGCUCGCGUCCAAUUAGCUAGUUGGUGAGGUAAAGGCCCACCAAGGCGACGAUUGGUAGCCGGACUGAGAGGUUGAACGGCCACAUUGGGACUGAGACACGGCCCAGACUCCUACGGGAGGCAGCAGUGGGGAAUAUUGCGCAAUGGGGGAAACCCUGACGCAGCAACGCCGCGUGAAGGAUGAAGGUUUUCGGAUUGUAAACUUCUUUGACGAGGGACGAUAAUGACGGUACCUCGAAAACAAGCUCCGGCUAACUACGUG
Molecule: ribosomal RNA, 480 nt
Filed under: uncultured organism
Description: bacterial SSU rRNA
Rfam family: Bacterial small subunit ribosomal RNA
Source: RNAcentral